GAAAUUCACUUUUAUGAGACUGUGCUGUAUUUGCAAUUUAACAGGAUCAAAACUCCUUCCUUCCCCCCACUUGUUAAUUAUUUUGUCAUCGCCUCGGAUUUUUUUCUUAUAAAUUUCCUGACAAGAUGUCACAAACAGAAUGCUGUAUUAGGGCACUAGAGAAACAAGAACUACCUUUGCGAAAGCAGGAUUGAGUUUAAAAACGUCAUAUCCUUGCAUCACUACUAGCUCCAGUUCAUGUCUCAGAUCUAGGAAUGGAAACACAUGAAUGCCAGUAUCUGGGCAAGGGAUGGUGGAAUAAGGGGGACCGAGUGCAGGACUGUAGCAGCCCAGAAUUACAUUAUUUCAAACUGAAGGAAAUUGGAUCUUCACCAUCUGGAACAAACUCUGAUCCUACAAAGGUAUGUCAAUGCAAAGUGGCAUUGCAGAGAUGUCCCAACUUAGUCAUUCAAGAGAAGAGCUGUGGGACAUCUGGGAGCAGUAACUUCUUCAACUAUUCCUAAUAAAUCUACAGCCAAAUAUGAGCCAGCUGUGGCUUCCCAAGAGGCUAAGCACUUGCAGCUUGAGCUUGCUGAAGAUCUCUGUUCAAAAAAACCCCAAGACUUAAAGCACAAGGACAACUGUAGAAACAUGAAAAAAUUGCUAAGACUUGCUGAGUAAUUAAAAACUAAAUCAAAUAUUUACGAGGGUAAAAAAACCUUCUGAAACUGAUUUUGGAUUUUUUACAAGAGUUUCUGCAGGCACACUUGUUACUUCCAAGCCACAGCUAUUAUUUGGUUUAUGAGAACCUAGUGAGUAGGAUAUUCAUAAUGUAUCAGCUACAUAAUUUCAAGUAAAUAUCAAAUCUAUAUUAAAAAUCUUAGGAUGUGAGCAGAGGUCAGUGCUUUAAGAAACUACAAAGGCAACCCAUACAAGGAGGGAAAGCAUCUUCAAUGAACUAAUGUAGUUGCAAAAAUGUAAGCAUGAUUCUGGGCAUGUAAGAAGAGAUAAUACAGCUUUGGUGCACAAAAAAAAAACCCAAAAAAACUUAUGGCAAAUGUAGACUCUUUGCUUUGUCUUUGGCAUGAAAUAUUGACAUAAUAAAUACAUAAAGAUACAUGUAUUUCUGAAAGAUCCAAGGAGGCAAAGAAAAGAAAAAAAAAAAAAGCUGGUUUCAUAUGGAUGACUUGAUUUUUAACAGGCAUAUGACAAUUAUUCAAUGAAAAUGUAUUCUUUGAACACUGAAUGAGGGAAAAAUCCAAAUAUAUUUAGCAUGAAAGUGAAAAAUACAGAAACCUCUUGCAACAAUCCCAGUGUAGUUGAGUGCAGCUUUUACGGCUCAGGCCAACUCAGGACAGGUUCUUGAGAAAUUUCAGCAUCCUUGCAUUCUGAAAUGCUCUCCCCUCUCUGUAUGAAAGGCUUUACACUCCUGCACUGCAAUACUGACUCUUCCUGCAUUUGAUAAUCCUAAGCUUUUCCCUUCCCCAGCCUGUUCUCCCAGCCCCCAAAGGAGAAUCCCACAUAAUCUGUUUUACAGGUCAGUGGGCCAAGAGCACACCAGAAGCUUUGCUCAUUUUGUAUUCUGUAUUCACAUGCUGAGCAAGGCAGUCCUGUCAUACCCAUCUAUCCUGAUGCUUUUUUUCCUGUUUUAUAGGAAAAACUCACUCACUUUACAAAUGAAACAUAUUAA
Hirundo rustica (Barn swallow) is the source of this 1669-nucleotide long non-coding RNA. RefSeq lists it as uncharacterized. NCBI's taxonomy places the organism in Eukaryota, Metazoa, Chordata, Aves, Passeriformes, Hirundinidae. The record is from RefSeq and is a predicted model, not a curated record. The transcript is spliced from 4 exons.